This 70-nucleotide transfer RNA is filed under the name human gut metagenome. It matches the Rfam family "tRNA". From Rfam's summary of the family: Transfer RNA (tRNA) molecules are approximately 80 nucleotides in length. Their secondary structure includes four short double-helical elements and three loops (D, anti-codon, and T loops). The record is from RNAcentral.
CGAUGUGGCUCAGGUGGUAGAGCAAUUGAUUCGUAAUCAAUAGGUCGGGAGUUCGAGUCUCCCCAUCGGC